ACUAAAAAGAAGAAAGAAACUGAGAAACCCGACAUUUAUUGGAGUUCAUGUGCGUAGAACAGAUUAUCUAUCGUGGAUUAAAACACAGUUUAAAGGAACACCUGUGGAUGAAAACUACUUUAAAUACGCGUUUGAACAGUUCAGGAAAAAGUAUGAAGAGCCAAUAUUUGUGGUGCUCAGCGAUGACAGAAAAUGGUGUAUGACACAUUUAAAAGAUAUGG
This is a long non-coding RNA of Eurytemora carolleeae, 221 nucleotides long. RefSeq lists it as uncharacterized. NCBI's taxonomy places the organism in Eukaryota, Metazoa, Arthropoda, Copepoda, Calanoida, Temoridae. The record is from RefSeq and is a predicted model, not a curated record. The transcript is spliced from 3 exons.